GUUAUCUUUUAUAAUCUCAUAAGGCAAUAGUUAAGGUGUCUUUCUGCUGGCCUGGCCCCGAAGAACCAGACCAAAAAACAAUACGGUGCACAGAGGUGUAUGGAGGACUCCGUCAGGCUUGCGCCGUCGGGUAUCGACUCCAAAAUCAGUAAUGAUCCAACCGCAGGUUCACCUACGGUUA
This 181-nucleotide unclassified non-coding RNA is filed under the name uncultured fungus. RNAcentral describes it as "sequence contains ITS1". The record is from RNAcentral. Lineage: Eukaryota; Fungi.